UGCAAAUCAAUAUAAAUUGAUUUAAUAAUGAUUUAUUUUAAAUGGUUUUUUAUUUAUUUAUAUUUAUUAAAAAUAAUUAUAUGAUUUGAUGUUUUAGUAAUUUUUAAUGAAAAAAUAAUUUUAAUAAUAGUUUAUUAAGUAUUGUGAAAUAAUAUUGAAAUAUAUUGAAAAAUUUUUAUUUAAAAAGAAGAUUUUAUUUUUUGUACCUUGUGUAUCAGGGUUUAUCAAAUAAUUAAUAUUUAUUUAUUAAUCUCGAUUUUAUAAGAGUUAAUAAUUUAUUAAAGUUAAUGUAUCAUAAUUAUUUUAAAUAGAUUGUUGGAAAUGAGAUGUUAUUCGUUUAUAAAGGUAUCUAGUUAUUUUAGAAAUAAAUUUAAUUUACGAAUUUUUAAUUUUUUUUUUAUUUAAUAAAUAAAAAAAAUUAUUAAUUUGAAUAUUUUAAGGGAUAAGCUUUAAAAUAAAUUUUUAAAAAUCAAUAAAUGUUAAUUUGAAAUAUAUGCAUAGAAUUAGUAAUUAUUUAUAAAUUUGUUAUAAAUUAUUUAAUAAUUUAUAUUAUUUAUUAAGAUUUUAAAUUUUUAUAAAAUUUUUUUUUUUAAUUUUAAUUGAAAAGUAAUAAUGAUAAAAUUAGUAUAAUUUAUUUAUGUAUAAAUAUUUUUAUUAGGUAAGUUUAUAUAAAGAACUCGGCAAAUUUUAUGCUCGCCUGUUUAACAAAAACAUGUCUUUUUGAGUUAUUUUUAAAGUCUAACCUGCCCAAUGAAUUUUAUUUUAAUGGCCGCAGUAUUUUAACUGUGCAAAGGUAGCAUAAUCAUUAGUCUUUUAAUUGAAGGCUGGUAUGAAUGGUUGGACGAAGUAUAAUCUGUUUCAUAUAAUUUUUUUUUAGAAUUUUAUAAUUUAGUUAAAAAGCUAAAAUAUAAUUAAAAGACGAGAAGACCCUAUAAAUCUUUAUAUUUUAUAUUAUUUUGAUUUUUUAGAGUUAUUUUAUUUUUAUAAUAUAAAAUAUUUUGUUGGGGUGAUAUUAAAAUUUAAUAAACUUUUAAUUAAAUAAAAUUAUCAUUAAUUUAUGAUUAGUUGAUCCGUUAAUAAUGAUUAUAAAAUUAAGUUACUUUAGGGAUAACAGCGUAAUUUUUUUGGAGAGUUCAUAUCGAUAAAAAAGUUUGCGACCUCGAUGUUGGAUUAAGAGAUAUAUUUAGGUGUAGUUGUUUAAAUAUUAAGUCUGUUCGACUUU
RNAcentral lists this ribosomal RNA (1222 nucleotides) under Plioreocepta poeciloptera (asparagus fly). RNAcentral describes it as "partial 16S ribosomal RNA". The record is from RNAcentral. Lineage: Eukaryota; Metazoa; Arthropoda; Insecta; Diptera; Tephritidae.